Molecule: long non-coding RNA, 326 nt
Filed under: Linum usitatissimum (flax)
Lineage: Eukaryota; Viridiplantae; Streptophyta; Magnoliopsida; Malpighiales; Linaceae
Description: long non-coding RNA (LUSI_LNC005393)
Source: RNAcentral
CCGUUGAUGUUAACUACUGAGAAAUUGCUUCUAUAUUCAAUGAAAUUGAUGUUUUUCCAGCAAUUUUAGAUAUUUCUGCAAAUUUAUCCUUUCAACGGGAAAAGUCUGUUACUACAGAUCAAACCUGAUAUGCGUCGUAUCCGGUGAUAAGAUUAUAACUCCCCCGUUAACUAUUGAUGGGCGGGUUCAGGGAAAUCCAAGAGAGAGAAAACGGGACGUUGUCGGAUAUGGGAUUCCCGCCUCCGAUCCGAUCAGUUUCCACCCUUAUUAACCUUUCUUCCUAUGGGAGUUAAUGCUGCUAAUAUUAAGGACUACCUAUCUCCUAC